UACAAUCUGUUCCUUCCAAUUAUAAAAUUCACGACUCAAAGGAGUUGGAGAGAGAUGCAAUAAUGAGAAAAGAGAAGAAGCAGGUGGGACUGUGUCAGAAACUUUGAAGUGAGGAAAGCAUAAAAGUGAGUAACACAAGUGGGUGGUGAGGGUUUCUCUCUAAAAUUUUCUUACAGUGAUCAUCUCUGAUUUGACUACUCAUAGUACUCGUUUUCACUUUUACCCCUUAAUUCUCUAUUUUUCACCUUUUUAACCUCCAAAAUCUUUAUUAACACUAACUCCCCUCAC
This 288-nucleotide long non-coding RNA is filed under the name Brassica napus (rape). Its description in RNAcentral is "long non-coding RNA (BNAP_LNC013024)". The record is from RNAcentral. Lineage: Eukaryota; Viridiplantae; Streptophyta; Magnoliopsida; Brassicales; Brassicaceae.